RNAcentral lists this ribosomal RNA (483 nucleotides) under Staphylococcus aureus. RNAcentral's name for it is "bacterial SSU rRNA". It matches the Rfam family "Bacterial small subunit ribosomal RNA", at positions 1 to 472 of the family's 1533-position model. The record is from RNAcentral. Lineage: Bacteria; Bacillati; Bacillota; Bacilli; Caryophanales; Staphylococcaceae.
UUUAUGGAGAGUUUGAUCCUGGCUCAGGAUGAACGCUGGCGGCGUGCCUAAUACAUGCAAGUCGAGCGAACGGACGAGAAGCUUGCUUCUCUGAUGUUAGCGGCGGACGGGUGAGUAACACGUGGAUAACCUACCUAUAAGACUGGGAUAACUUCGGGAAACCGGAGCUAAUACCGGAUAAUAUUUUGAACCGCAUGGUUCAAAAGUGAAAGACGGUCUUGCUGUCACUUAUAGAUGGAUCCGCGCUGCAUUAGCUAGUUGGUAAGGUAACGGCUUACCAAGGCAACGAUGCAUAGCCGACCUGAGAGGGUGAUCGGCCACACUGGAACUGAGACACGGUCCAGACUCCUACGGGAGGCAGCAGUAGGGAAUCUUCCGCAAUGGGCGAAAGCCUGACGGAGCAACGCCGCGUGAGUGAUGAAGGUCUUCGGAUCGUAAAACUCUGUUAUUAGGGAAGAACAUAUGUGUAAGUAACUGUGCACA